Molecule: non-coding RNA, 27 nt
Filed under: Mus musculus (house mouse)
Lineage: Eukaryota; Metazoa; Chordata; Mammalia; Rodentia; Muridae
Source: RNAcentral
UGCAGUCAAUCAAAAUGUUGCUGGCCU